This 463-nucleotide ribosomal RNA is filed under the name rape rhizosphere bacterium m9051. RNAcentral describes it as "bacterial SSU rRNA". It matches the Rfam family "Bacterial small subunit ribosomal RNA", at positions 42 to 504 of the family's 1533-position model. The record is from RNAcentral.
GCAUGCCUUACACAUGCAAGUCGAACGGUAACAGGUCUUCGGAGCUGACGAGUGGCGAACGGGUGAGUAAUACAUCGGAACGUGCCCAGUCGUGGGGGAUAACUACUCGAAAGAGUAGCUAAUACCGCAUACGAUCUGAGGAUGAAAGCGGGGGACCUUCGGGCCUCGCGCGAUUGGAGCGGCCGAUGGCAGAUUAGGUAGUUGGUGGGAUAAAAGCUUACCAAGCCGACGAUCUGUAGCUGGUCUGAGAGGACGACCAGCCACACUGGGACUGAGACACGGCCCAGACUCCUACGGGAGGCAGCAGUGGGGAAUUUUGGACAAUGGGCGAAAGCCUGAUCCAGCAAUGCCGCGUGCAGGAUGAAGGCCUUCGGGUUGUAAACUGCUUUUGUACGGAACGAAAAAGCUCUCCUAAUACGAGNGGCCCAUGACGGUACCGUAAGAAUAAGCACCGGCUAACUAC